GAUGAAGAACGCAGUGAAAUGCGAUAAGUAGUGUGAAUUGCAGAAUUCCGUGAAUCAUCGAAUCUUUGAACGCACAUUGCGCCUUCUGGUAUUCCGGAAGGCAUGCCUGUUCGAGAGUCAUUAACAACCGUUUCGAUCCCUUUCUUUCAGAAAUUAUAAAGAGGAAAAGGGUUUGGUUAUGGUGGAGGAGGGAAAGGGAGCGUUUAGCCUGUAAAAAAAGAGGCUGUGUUCCGCCUCCCCCCCAAAAUUGUACAGGCGGUCGUGUGCGCCCACGCAUCGAGGUGUUGUAAAAGCUGCCACGGCACUUUUCACCUGUGCAGUGCGAGAUUGGCCAGCCGGUUUAAAAACCCCUCCAAACAAUCAAAGGUUGACCUCGGAUCAGGUAGGGAUACCCGCUGAACUUAAGCAUAUCAAUAAGCGGAGGA
RNAcentral lists this unclassified non-coding RNA (425 nucleotides) under soil metagenome. RNAcentral's name for it is "partial contains 5.8S ribosomal RNA, internal transcribed spacer 2, and large subunit ribosomal RNA". The stretch from base 1 to 120 matches the Rfam family "5.8S ribosomal RNA", at positions 35 to 154 of the family's 154-position model. The record is from RNAcentral.